GUUGUUGUAGCAUAGUGGUUAGUAUUAUCGCCUGUCACGCGGGUGACCCUUGUUCGAUCCCAGGCAACGACG
Picea glauca (white spruce) is the source of this 72-nucleotide non-coding RNA. NCBI's taxonomy places the organism in Eukaryota, Viridiplantae, Streptophyta, Pinopsida, Pinales, Pinaceae. The record is from Rfam.